CUUCCAGGAGAGCGCCUGCGCGGGAGGGUGACCACAGGCGGCCGGGCGGGAUGUCCUGUCCGCCGUCUUCAGCCCAGCCGCCACCACCCAUAAGCUAUGAGGAGGAGUUUACGACCACCUGGACUACUACCACCUGCGUGACUUCCCGGCCUGAGGGGUCCGCGCAGCAAAGGCCUGACGCUGCUGGAGCAGGCGCUGCGCACCUACCGGCUGGCGCCUGGUAGGCACGAGUGCAGGGUCGCCCAGAAGCUCCUCAAUGGCCGGCGCAAGUGCCAGCCAGCGCCAGCUGCAGCCCUGGCCGCGCACUCGCCUCAGCUGAGCCUGGGUAUGUGCACCCCCCAACACUUCCCCCAGCCAUGUUCCCGGGACCUCGGGAGCGUCCCCCACCGCCCGGUGCCAUUCGUGCUGGGCAGGGUCGGCCCCCUUUGAGGCUGCCCCGCGUUAGGGAGCUGCACCGCACCCCCACCAGCUUGACCUCUGACUGCCGUUGCAAUAGCAUUAAAGCCUUUGGAACUUUGUAGGUGGGUAGAAGGGGCUAGGAAACGAAGAAAACAUCUUUUUAAAAAUUUAUAUAAGGGACUGGCCGGGUGCGGUGGCUCACACCUGUAAUCCCAGCACUUUAGGAGGCCGAGUGGGUGGAUCACCAGGUCAGGAGUUGAAGACCAGCCUGGCCAGCAUGGUGAAACCCCGUCUCUACUAAAAAUACAAAAAUUAGCUAGGCGUGGUGGCGGGCGCCUGUAAUCCCAGCUACUCGGGAGGCUGAGGCAGAGAAUUGCUUGAACCCGGGAGGUGGAGGUUGCAGUGAGCCGAGAUCGCGCCAUUGCACUCCAGCCUGGGCAACAAGAGCAAAACUCCGUCUCUAAAUAAAUAAAUAAGAUUUUCAAGGCGAGGCAUGGUGGGUCACACCUAAAUAAGUAAAUAAAUAAAUAAAAUGGAUUUUCGGCUGGGCAUGGUGGCUCACGCCUGUAAUCCCAGCACUUUGGGAGGCCGAGGCGGGCGGUUCAUGAGGUCAGGAGAUCGAGACCAUCCUGGCUAACACGGUGAAACCCCGUCUCUACUGAAAAUACACACAAAAAAAAAUUACCCAGGCGUGAUGGCGCGCGCCUGUAGUCCCAGCUACUGGGAAGGCUGAGGCAGGAGAAUGGCGUGAACCCGGGAGGCAUAGUUUGCAAUGAGCCGAGACCGUGCCACUGCACUUCAGCCUGGGUGACAGCGAGACUCCGUCUCAAAAAAAUAAAUAAAUUAAAAAAAUAAAAUAAAAUGGAUUUUCAAGGCCAGGCAUAGUGGGUCACACCUAUAAUCCCAGCACUUUGGGAGGCCAAGGCAGAAGGAUUGCUUGAGCCCAGGAGUUCGAGACCAGCCUGGGCAACAGGGCAAAACCCUGUCUCUAUCAAAAGCACAAAAUAAGCUGGGCAUUAUAGUGCACACCUGUAGUCCGAGCUACUCAGGAGGCUGAGAUGGGAGGAUGGUUUGAGCCCGGGAGGCAGAGGCUGUAUUGAGCUGAGAUCAUACCACUGAACUUCAGCCUGGGUGACGAGCCAGACCCCGUCUCAAAAAAAAAUAAUAACAAUAAAAAUAAAUUCAUAUAGUUUGGUAUGGUUUAGUAAGUUUCAGCAGGCAGAUUGUCAGGGUAAGAUGGAUUGUUAUAUAUACAUUUAUAUAUAUAAUAUGUAUAUUUAUAUACUUAUUUAUUUUAGCAGAGAUAGGGUCUCCCUAUGUUGCCAGGCUGGUCUUAGACUCCUGAGCUCAAGCAAUCCUGCCUCGGGUUCCUAAAGGAAGCUCACAUUGGAGGUGUGAGCCACCACACCUGGCCUAUAAGGGGAAUUUAAGGGACUCUCUACUAUGAUGUCCCUUCUCCCAAUCCCUUUCCGCAUGUAGAAGAGGGUUCUGUUGAGUGACUGGCAUUUGCUUAUAUUUCUCAGUGCUAUGCCCAGUGUAAUGGAAAAGGCACAGACUGGCUCAAGAGCCCAGGGAUUUCAGUUCCAGGCCAAGCUCAUCCACUGACUGACAGAGUCAGUCAAACUUGUUUGGAUUUCAGAUUCUUCAUCUGAAUAACGUAGAUAACACUUAUCCCAUAGUACACUGCAAAGAUGACACGUGACAGUGAACAAGUUAGUUUCCGUUUAAAUAUUAAGAAUUAGGCCAGGCGCAGUGGCUCACACCUGUAACCCCAACACUUUGGGAGGUCGAGGCGAGUGGAUCACAAGGUCAGGAGUUCGAGACCAGCCUGGCCAAUAUGGUGAAACCCUGUCUCUACUAAAAAUACAAAAAUUAGGUGGGUGUGGUGGUGGGCGCCUCUAAUCCCAGCUACUUGGGAGGCUGAGGCAAGAGAGUCGCUUGAACCCGGGAGGCAGAGGUUGCAGUGAGCGAAAUUGCGCCACUGCACUCCAGCGCCUGGGUGACAGAGUGAGACUCAGUCUAAAAAAAAGAAAGGAAAAAAGAAUGAGAUUAGAGAGGGCCUUCAUUCCUCCUGGAAGAACACCUGAUGUACCUGAAAUCUUUGUUGGUGACAGGAAAUAUGUCGAUAGCAUAGGGUUUCACUGUUGCCUCCCACACAGGGCCUUCACCAUCUCUGUCAUCUGGAGAAUUUGUUCCCAUCAGGAAUCUCCCACCUGGCAGUGGGACCAUGCUAGUAGCCUGUCCAUUUCCUGCAGAUAAAAAAGAGAGGUAUCGGUAAUACAUGCAUAUAUAUAAAACAAGUGGUAAUAUUUGGAUCGUAUGCAAUACUCAUGAUGGUAUGACAAAACAAAACAAAAAAUGUGGAGGUUUAAAAAUCUGGCUUUAAAUUCCUUUUGCAUUUUGUUUGCCUUCACAUUCUUGUUCUGCCACUUAGUUUGAUGGGAAACCUUAGGCAAAUUUCUUAAUCUGAGAUUCAAUUUCUUUUCUUUUUUCUUUUUUUUUUUGUGACGGGAUCUCACUCUGUCACCCAGGCUGGAGUGCAGUCAUGCAGUCUUGGCUCACUACAGCCUCUGCCCCCGUGGGCUCAAGCAGUCCUCCCACCUCAGCCUCCUAAGAGCUGGGACCACAAGUGUGCACCACCACGCCUGGCUAAUUUUUGUAUUUUUUGUAGAGAUGGGGUUUUGUUAUGUUGCCCAGGCUGGUCUCAAACUCCUGAGAUCAAGUGAUCCUUCCACCUCAGCCUCCCAAAGUGCUGGGAUUACAGGUGUGAGCCAACACGCCCGGCUGAGAUUCAAUUUCUUCAUCUGAAAAAUGAGGAUACCUAUGGACAACUGUAGCUUGUUCAUAAAAGAAAAAAAAAAUAAGUAUGAAAAAUGGGGAUACUAUCUCACUAUCUCUUAGGUAGUAGCUGUAUCAAUUAAAGUAACAUGGAACCAGGUUCAAUGGCUCAGAGACAGGGUGCAGAAGCGAAGGCAGGAGGAUUGCUUGAGCCCAGGAGUUCAAGGUUGCGGUAAGCUAUGAUCAUGUCACUGCACUCCAGCCUGGGUGACAGAGUGAGAUCCUGUCUCAAAAAAUAAAAAAUAAAAAGAUAGUAAUAAAAUAGCAUGGGUGAAAUGUUGCGCACAUGAUAGAUUUGCACUUACCUCUUUCUUCCUCUACACAAACCCUUGCCCCAACUAGGCGAAUUUAGACACUCUACCCUAAAAUACAUCUAGCACUUUCUACCCAUCCUUCUGCUCAUGCUGUUUCUCUGCCUCUUCCUCUCCAUUUACUGAACUCUUACAGUUCUUGGUGAUUCUCACCAUUAUAUGCUCCAGAAGGGAAGUAUAUAAUACAUAUAUAUUUUUGACAGUAUAUACCUGGUCCCUGCCAUAAAUGCGCAAUGAUUAUCGCCAAAUAGUUAAAUGAGCACCUUUAGACUUGUUUGAAUGCCUCAGAAAUAUCAUAGAAUUAAAAAGGACCGGCCAGGCAUGGUGGCUCACGUCUGGAAUCCCAGCACUUUGGGAGGCAGAGGUGGGCAAAUCACCUGAGGUCAAGAGUUAAAGACCAGCCUGGCCAACAUGGCGAAACCCCAUCUCUAUUAAAAAUACAAAAAUUAGGCUGGGUGCGGUGGCUCACACCUGUAAUCCCAGCACUUUGGGAGGCCAAGGUGGGCGGAUCACGAGGUCAGGAGAUCAAGACCAUCCUGGCUAACAAGGUGAAACCCCAUCUCUACUAAAAACUACAAAAAAAUUAGCUGGGCCUGGUGGCGGGCACCUGUAGUCCCAGCUACUCGGGAGGCUGAGGCAGGAGAAUGGUGUGAACCCGGGAGGUGGAGCUUGCAGUGAGCUAAGAUCGUGCCACUGCACUCCAGCCUGGGCAACAGAGCGAGACUCCAUCUCAAAAAAAAAAAAAAAAAAGCCAGGCAUGAUGGUGCACACCAGUAAUCCCAGCUACUUGGGAGGCUGAGGCAGGAGAAUCACUUGAACCUGGGAGGCGGAGGUUAUAGUGAGCCAAGAUCGUGCCACUGCACUCCAGCUUGGGGGACAGAGCGAGACUCUGUCUCAAAAUAAAUAAAAAAGGGUCUGUGCUUCAAACUCCUUAUUCCACAGGAGGAAACCAAGACCCAAAAAAGAAAUAUGACUUAAAGAGCUGGUUAGCAGCUGACAGGACUAGAUUCGGGUCUCUUUACAGUACUGUUUCCAAUAGGCCACACUUCUUCAGCUUGAUGCACCACUUCAGUGUCUUUACAAGAAAGGAUGUCUAAGCACUGUAACUUCUUUCAAGGCAGAGUCCUGGUCUUUUGAUGUUCCUCAAGAUCCUGUCUUUGGCUCUCUUAUUCUGACACAUUCACACUGAUUUCAUCCAUUUUUUUUCUUUCUUUUUGUUUUUUUUUUUUUGAGGCAGAGCCUUGCCCUGUUGCCCAGGCCAGAGUGCAGUGGCAUGAUCUCGGCUCACUGCAACCUCUGUCUCCUGGGUUUAAGCGAUUCUCCUGCCUCAGCCUCCUGAGUAGCUAAGACUACAGGUGCGUGCCAACACUCCCAGCUAAUUUUUUGUAUUUUUAGUAGAGAUGGGGUUUCACCAUAUUGGCCAGGCUGGUCUUGAACUCCUGACCUUGUGAUCCACCCGCCUUGGCCUCUCAAAGUGCUGGGAUGACAGGCUUGAGCCACCGCGCCUGGCCUAUUUUCAGUUUCUUCAACAAAUAUAUCACCAAGGGGAAAAAAUGGAUCAUCCUGGCAUGGUGUCUCAGGCCUGUAAUCCCAGCACUUUGGGAAGCUGAGGCAGGGAUUGCUUGAGGCCACAGUGAGCUAUGAUGGCACCACUGCACUCCAGCCUGGGCAACACAGUGAGACCUUGUCCCCCCGCCCCACCAAAAAAACAAAUAAAUAAAAGGAGUAAGUAGGGAAAUAAUCAGAUUGAAUCAGAAUUAAGAAAUAACAUACAAUUGCAAUGUAUGAGCUUUAUUUUGUCCCUAAUUCAGCCAGCAAACGUUAAAAACCCUUUAUGAGAUAAUAGAUGAAUUUGAACAGAUUGGAUAUAUUAUUAAGCAGCACUGCCAGUUUUUUAGUUGAGAAAGGGUAAUUAUUUUUUCGUGACUUCUUUUGACUAUUCCAGCUGAAGGUUUAGAAUAAAAUGGGUUAUGUCUGGACCCACUUCAAAAUGGCUCCAGGAGACGGGGAGAGUGCGAUUCCACAGGAGCAGGACUGGCCACAAACUGGCAGCUCUUUAAGGUGGCCCACGAGUACGUGAGGGCAGGGGUCGUUCCUCGUUACAUUCUCCUCUUUCCCUUUUUUUUUUUUUUGAGAUGAAGUCUCGCUCUAUCUCCCAGGCUGGAGUGCAGUGUCACAAUCUCGGCUCACUGCAGCCUCCGCCCCCUGGCUUCAAGCGAUUCCCCUGCCUCAGCUUCCUGAGUAGCUGGGAUUACAGGCCUACGCCACCACGCCCGGCUGAUUUUUUGUAUUUUUGUGGAGACGGGGUUUCACCAUGUUGGCCAGGCUGGUCUCCAACUCCUAACCUCAAGUGAUCCACCCGUCUCGGCCUCCCAAAGUGCUGGGAUUAUAGGCAUGAGCCACCGCGCCCGGCCUCUCUUUCCCUUUUAUAAGUUUGAAAGAUUCCAGAGCAAGAAGUUGAAAGCACAAGGCGGUGAGGCACCCUGCGCACCGAGAGCGACCUCCCCAGCCGGCGGCUGCAGGCGCAUCCCGGAAGCGGGCAGAGGGGCCUCAGGCUCUCUCCCGCCAGGGCGGAGGGCCCCAUCCCCUUUCCCAGCGCCCCCGGCGUGGCCGGCGGUUCAAUGACCUAGCCUGAGCCACGCACCAACCAGGAGCGACAGCAGGGACAGCAGCGGUGAUGAACAACCCAUGCUGGCAUCAGGACUGGCGCGCCACGCCGCGCACACCCACGGCCCCGCUGCUCAUCCGCCCUCACGCACCACGGUGGCAGUCGCCUCCUCCACACAUGCGCAUGCUGCUCCACCA
RNAcentral lists this long non-coding RNA (6353 nucleotides) under Homo sapiens (human). Its description in RNAcentral is "non-protein coding lnc-ERV3-1-1:4". The record is from RNAcentral. Lineage: Eukaryota; Metazoa; Chordata; Mammalia; Primates; Hominidae.